RNAcentral lists this ribosomal RNA (704 nucleotides) under uncultured bacterium. RNAcentral's name for it is "bacterial SSU rRNA". It matches the Rfam family "Bacterial small subunit ribosomal RNA", at positions 59 to 755 of the family's 1533-position model. The record is from RNAcentral.
CAGUCGAACGGCAGCACGGGAGCAAUCCUGGUGGCGAGUGGCGAACGGGUGAGUAAUAUAUCGGAACGUGCCCAGUCGUGGGGGAUAACGCAGCGAAAGCUGUGCUAAUACCGCAUACGAUCUCUGGAUGAAAGCGGGGGACUCGUAAGAGCCUCGCGCGAUUGGAGCGGCCGAUAUCAGAUUAGCUAGUUGGUGGGGUAAAGGCCCACCAAGGCGACGAUCUGUAGCUGGUCUGAGAGGACGACCAGCCACACUGGAACUGAGACACGGUCCAGACUCCUACGGGAGGCAGCAGUGGGGAAUUUUGGACAAUGGGCGCAAGCCUGAUCCAGCAAUGCCGCGUGCAGGAUGAAGGCCUUCGGGUUGUAAACUGCUUUCGUACGGAACGAAAAGGUUUGCCUUAAUACGGUGGGCCCAUGACGGUACCGUAAGAAUAAGCACCGGCUAACUACGUGCCAGCAGCCGCGGUAAUACGUAGGGUGCGAGCGUUAAUCGGAAUUACUGGGCGUAAAGCGUGCGCAGGCGGUUAUAUAAGACAGAUGUGAAAUCCCCGGGCUCAACCUGGGACCUGCAUUUGUGACUGUAUAGCUAGAGUACGGUAGAGGGGGGAUGGAAUUCCGCGUGUAGCAGUGAAAUGCGUAGAUAUGCGGAGGAACACCGAUGGCGAAGGCAAUCCCCUGGACCUGUACUGACGCUCAUGCACG